This 482-nucleotide ribosomal RNA is filed under the name uncultured bacterium. Its description in RNAcentral is "partial 16S ribosomal RNA". It matches the Rfam family "Bacterial small subunit ribosomal RNA", at positions 30 to 507 of the family's 1533-position model. The record is from RNAcentral.
AUUGAACGCUGGCGGCAUGCCUUACACAUGCAAGUCGAACGGUAACGGGCCUUCGGGUGCCGACGAGUGGCGAACGGGUGAGUAAUACAUCGGAACGUGCCCGAUCGUGGGGGAUAACGAGGCGAAAGCUUUGCUAAUACCGCAUACGAUCUACGGAUGAAAGCAGGGGACCGCAAGGCCUUGCGCGGACGGAGCGGCCGAUGGCAGAUUAGGUAGUUGAUGGGAUAAAAGCUUACCAAGCCGACGAUCUGUAGCUGGUCUGAGAGGAUGAUCAGCCACACUGGGACUGAGACACGGCCCAGACUCCUACGGGAGGCAGCAGUGGGGAAUUUUGGACAAUGGGCGCAAGCCUGAUCCAGCCAUGCCGCGUGCAGGAUGAAGGCCUUCGGGUUGUAAACUGCUUUUGUACGGAACGAAAAGCCUUCUUUUAAUACAGGAGGGUCAUGACGGUACCGUAAGAAUAAGCACCGGCUAACUACGUG